GAUCCUGGCUCAGGAUGAACGCUGGCGGCGUGCCUAACACAUGCAAGUCGAACGGAGUUAUCGCUGCGGAGGUUCGGCCGAAGCUUGAAUAACUAGUGGCGGACGGGUGAGUAACGCGUGGGCAACCUGCCUCGUACUGGGGGAUAACAGUUGGAAACGACUGUUAAUACCGCAUAAGCGCACGGUAUCGCAUGAUACAGUGUGAAAAAACUCCGGUGGUACGAGAUGGGCCCCGCGUCAGAUUAGCCAGUUGGCGGGGUAACGGCCCACCAAAGCGACGAUCUGUAGCCGGACUGAGAGGUCGGACGGCCACAUUGGGACUGAGACACGGCCCAAACUCCUACGGGAGGCAGCAGUGGGGGAUAUUGCACAAUGGGCGAAAGCCUGAUGCAGCGAACCGCCGCGUGAGUGAAGAAGUAUUUCGGUAUGUAAAGCUCUAUCAGCAGGGAAGAAAGGCCCUUCGGGGAGAUGACGGUACCUGACUAAGAAGCCCCGGCUAACUACGUGCCAGCCGCCGC
RNAcentral lists this ribosomal RNA (518 nucleotides) under uncultured bacterium. RNAcentral describes it as "bacterial SSU rRNA". It matches the Rfam family "Bacterial small subunit ribosomal RNA", at positions 15 to 518 of the family's 1533-position model. The record is from RNAcentral.